AUGGCAAGGUUCUUCCCUGGUCCCUUCUCAACAUCUCUGUGGACUGUGAAGCUAGAACUGGACAGCUUUCCUGUGGCACCGGCAUCAAUAUCACAAUAUGAACGCUGCCCACUUGCAAGGGCUACCUCUGUGAACGUGUCCUCACCUGGGCUGUCAUCUUCACAUCAGGGCCUUAAUGUGCCCUCAGAUUACUCCAGGCAUGUGCACACUGCAGCAAAGAAAACAAACCCUUGGAAAUGCUGGUUCCCCCAAAUCCUUGUAGUAGGGAUUGCAGUGGGCCCCACUGAGGUCUUUAUGGAGAUUAGGCCAGACCGUGUGACACAUGAUUAUGCAAUUCAGCUUGCAGGGUCUUCUCCCACUUCAGCUUUUCACAGUCCUCCCUGCCCUUGCUGUGUCAGUGCGUUCCCAGGUGAACAGUCGCAAAGUUCAAGAAGGGUGAAAGAAAGAGGCCACUCAGAGUCAGAUAGGAGGAGGAGUGCAAUUGCCAACACUGCAAUACCUGUCUCAGGAGCUAUGUCACCUACCAGCUGCCAGCCUGGAGGAGCCACUCCCUGGAAUAACUCAUACUCGUGGCAGGAAUGCUUCUUCUACUGCACCCUCAGAGUGGGAAUUGUCAGCUUUGGCUUUUUGUUGGCUUUCUUAAGUUUCUUUAGUCCUGUGCUGUUUAUUUUCCUGUAUCCUUGUUGGGCCAGCCAGGUAACAAGCUGCUUAUGCAGGUUAUGGGUUCAGAAGACCUUGACAAAUUUGUGGUGGCAUCCAUGGAUGGAGUACCUUGUCUAUAAGGAGAAAAGGGCAUGGGCCUCUGCUUGGGAACAGGGGCUGACCCAGGUCGUGGGCUCCUGGCAGCUUGGGAAAGGGUCUAGGCACAGCAGUAUCAUGCUCAUGGCAAACUGCACAACCUCCUGUGCUGUGAAAUUUUUGCAGAAUUCAGUAUGCUGGAGCACUGGCUUAAAGAUGAUCUGGGCCCAUGCUGUGCAGCUGUGUUAUAGGUAUUUUAGCUAA
This 1002-nucleotide long non-coding RNA is filed under the name Apteryx haastii (Great spotted kiwi). RNAcentral describes it as "lncRNA (ENSAHAG00000012323.1)". The record is from RNAcentral. Lineage: Eukaryota; Metazoa; Chordata; Aves; Apterygiformes; Apterygidae.